Long non-coding RNA from Oncorhynchus mykiss (rainbow trout), 535 nucleotides. RefSeq lists it as uncharacterized. The record is from RefSeq and is a predicted model, not a curated record. NCBI's taxonomy places the organism in Eukaryota, Metazoa, Chordata, Actinopteri, Salmoniformes, Salmonidae.
UGCGAAUACAUUCCAUAUAAAUUCAGCCUCCACCCUUUCAUCGGUCUCCUUCUCCUCUCCGAUCCUGAAGAGAGGUAUUGCUGAGAAGCAAAGCACAAGUUGGAAGAUUCAAAAUGAGCUGCAGCCAAGUUGUGGCAUUGGAUGGUGUACUCUGGGAAUGCCAAUAUCUGAAACUGUUGCCGUGAAGCCAAUGGAAAUUAGUCAUGUGACUGAAACUUUGACAAAGAACUCAAGUUUCUGACCAUGCUGCGAUGGGAUCCUGGAGUCUCAAGUCUAGUUUGGCUGUUAAUUUAGGACCCAGAUGCAGAAACAGGAUUUGGUGUUGCAAGAAGGCAGACUGAAUGGAUACUGGGCGUAAAGGAUUGGAUGUAGAGCUGUCCCUGUCAGGUGGCCAGUGAAUUUACAACUGCCAGUGUAGUUAAGAAUGAGAAAUGAUGACGCUAUCAAGAGAUGCAGUGGGAGACAUCCAUGAUUUCAGACUACAUUUAUCCUGGGUGGUUACUGAUUUCGACUAUCAAUAAAAUGUGUGCACUUA